GUACCAGACUCCUACGGGAGGCAGCAGUGAGGAAUAUUGGUCAAUGGCCGCAGGGCUGAACCAGCCAAGUCGCGUGAGGGAUGACGGUCCUAUGGCUUGUAAACCUCUUUUGUCAGGGAGCAAAGGGCGCCACGUGUGGCGCUUUGCGAGUACCUGAAGAAAAAGCAUCGGCUAACUCCGUGCCAGCAGCCGCGGUAAUACGGAGGAUGCGAGCGUUAUCCGGAUUUAUUGGGUUUAAAGGGUGCGCAGGCGGAAUGUCAAGUCAGCGGUAAAAUUUCGGGGCUCAACCCCGUCGUGCCGUUGAAACUGUGUCCCUUGAGUGCGCGAAGGGUAGGCGGAAUGCGUGGUGUAGCGGUGAAAUGCAUAGAUAUCACGCAGAACUCCGAUCGCGAAGGCAGCCUACCGGCGCGCAACUGACGCUCAUGCACGAAAGCGUGGGUAUCGAACAGGAUUAGAUACCCCAGUA
This 466-nucleotide ribosomal RNA is filed under the name uncultured bacterium. RNAcentral's name for it is "bacterial SSU rRNA". It matches the Rfam family "Bacterial small subunit ribosomal RNA", at positions 328 to 792 of the family's 1533-position model. The record is from RNAcentral.